AGAAGAAGAAGAAGAAAACUGCGAUCUGAGCAAUAAUUGAAAAAGAUGAAACUUUACACUAUUCUCCUUUUGUGUAUUACACUUUUUGUUUUGACUGCCAAUGGCCAAGGAUGUGUAGGUGAAGGUGAUUUUUGUGGCGGAUCUCGCCGUUGUUGUUGGCGUCUUAAAUGCAAGAGUACAAUAUGUCAAAGAAUUUGAGGUGGUUAAUCUAAUCAAAAUUUUAAUUCUAAAUAAUAAAUGUAAAUAAAAAUAGCACAAAUUUUC
Leptopilina heterotoma is the source of this 264-nucleotide long non-coding RNA. RefSeq lists it as uncharacterized. The transcript is spliced from 3 exons. Lineage: Eukaryota; Metazoa; Arthropoda; Insecta; Hymenoptera; Figitidae. The record is from RefSeq and is a predicted model, not a curated record.